This 527-nucleotide ribosomal RNA is filed under the name uncultured soil bacterium. RNAcentral's name for it is "bacterial SSU rRNA". It matches the Rfam family "Bacterial small subunit ribosomal RNA", at positions 355 to 896 of the family's 1533-position model. The record is from RNAcentral.
UGAGGAAUUUUCCGCAAUGGGCGAAAGCCUGACGGAGCAACGCCGCGUGAGGGAUGAAGUCUCUAGGGAUGUAAACCUCUGUUGGGAGGGACGAAAAUUUGACGGUACCUCCUGAGGAAGCCCCGGCUAACUACGUGCCAGCAGCCGCGGUAAUACGUAGGGGGCAAGCGUUAUCCGGAUUUACUGGGCGUAAAGAGCGCGUAGGCGGUUCCGUAAGUUGGUUGUGAAAGUUCGAGGCUCAACCUCGAAACUGCGUCCAAUACUGCGGGGCUGGAGUGCAAGAGAGGCAAGUGGAAUUUGCGGUGUAGUAGUGAAAUGCGUAGAUAUCGCAAGGAACACCAGUGGCGAAGGCGGCUUGCUAGCUUGUAACUGACGCUGAGGCGCGAAAGCUAGGGGAGCGAACGGGAUUAGAUACCCCGGUAGUCCUAGCCCUAAACAAUGUUCACUAGGUGUUGGUGGUAUUGACGCCAUCAGUGCCGCAGCUAACGCAUUAAGUGAACCGCCUGGGGAGUACGGCCGCAAGGUUG